CGGCGACGCGAGCGGUCCGCCGCCCGCGACGUCGUGAGAAGUCCACUGAACCUUAUCAUUUAGAGGAAGGAGAAGUCGUAACAAGGUUUCCGUAGGUGAACCUGCGGAAGGAUCAUUG
RNAcentral lists this ribosomal RNA (118 nucleotides) under Kerriodoxa elegans. RNAcentral describes it as "partial 18S ribosomal RNA". It matches the Rfam family "Eukaryotic small subunit ribosomal RNA", at positions 1718 to 1831 of the family's 1831-position model. The record is from RNAcentral. Lineage: Eukaryota; Viridiplantae; Streptophyta; Magnoliopsida; Arecales; Arecaceae.